CUAAAGAGUUCUGCUAUAUACACAACAGCGGGCGCUCACUUCUCCAGUUCUUUGUAAUUCAUAUACAGAAAAUAGAGCGGGGCUGUAAGAUCACGGGUUUAACAGAAAUCAAACUUCGAACUGAUUUCUAAAGCAGCACAAAUAGACUUUCCCCACAUUAUGAAAAAUAUACAAUUUUAUCACUUUACAGUCAUGCACUUCGUUUGAAAAAGAUCAGUAGUAACUCUUCCCCCGCAGUCCCUAAAAAGAUAAAAGGUCACUUUAACACUGGUUUCUUUCAAUAGCUAAUAUUUGGAUAAAAAGGUGCCGUUCUCAAACAAGGUUGUGCUCAGCACUCACACCAGGGUGCACAGAGCCGACUGCAGCCGGUUACACCGCAGCAUUCCAGAACCUUCUACGGAAACGCCGUUCGCUUCAGUCGCUCCGACAACAGUCGAGGAUGUCAUCUCACCUCCCUUAAGCAAGCAAAGUCCAUUUGCAAUCGCUGGAUGCCCUCUUUGCUGGAGGAUCGCAGAACGUAGGGCUUCGGGCUUGAGGAAAUUACAGUUGGUCUGCUGCCCAACAACUAUCAGUUCAGUGGCCACGAUGUCAAGGGAUGCUCCCCUCCAACUGGAUGGACAGAACCUGAAAACUCAGCACGUGGAUCAGUGAAUUUAAAUACGCAGAUAAUUCGGCUUUUCAGACAACUGCAAGUUUAGCAUCCAAGUCAUCCCGUAAAGUCAUCAAGCGUUGUUUUAAUCCAGGAAGACACUUUACAGCUCAAAUGGAGCAGCAUGCCUAAAUAUCCUCAGACAACACCCUACUGUCCAGCACUCGUGGUUCUGCAAAACCAACGCACGUCUUGCAUUGAAAAUCUAUGCUGCCAAACAGAAUCAUCAAAAAAAAAAAAACAACGGUCACCAAGAGUAGCAAAGGCUGCUCAGCUGGGCUGCUGGCCCCAAUGGGAAGUGGCUCUUUUGGCUUUGCAGCACUACUGGGCCUCAAUCACAGCACUAUUCCCUCGGAGCGUGGGCCUCCCGGUAUUGUAUCGGCGCUCCAUAUUCAUAAGGUAGCACAAAUCAAGGACUCAGCCGGUAGAGCAAAGUAAUUUAAGAGGAAGAACCUGUCUCACUAAUCCAUCUGCAGCUGUGACUGAGUCCUGGAGAGGAUGAGAUGAAAGUCACGGUGUCUGAGGUCAUUACAUCUUUGAGCUAAUCGCUAAAAUGGAUGCAACUUUUGAAGAGAAGGCUUUGAUCAUUACAUGUAUCCGUCUUUAACGUUAUUUUACACCAAUGAGUUUUAAGAAGCAAGUUCAGCUUCCUCGCACUAUUGGGAAACAUGGGAAAGAACAAUGAAUGAAAUACAAGGACAGCUGCUGUGAUAGCUUGGAAGAGAAGGGGUGAGGUUCAAAUUCUUACAGCUAUAUAAGCGGUACUCCACAAUAGCAAAAUAUAAGUCCCGUUGUUUUAUAUACAACCACUUGAAGAAGAAAAAACCCACUUGUUUUGGUUCCUUAACAAAAAUAAAGCUUCAGUGGCAGGCAGUAG
This 1526-nucleotide long non-coding RNA is filed under the name Gallus gallus (chicken). RNAcentral describes it as "long non-coding RNA NONGGAT007800". Lineage: Eukaryota; Metazoa; Chordata; Aves; Galliformes; Phasianidae. The record is from RNAcentral.